GACGAACGCUGGCGGCGUGCUUAACACAUGCAAGUCGAACGAUGACGACCGAGCUUGCUCGGUCUGAUUAGUGGCGAACGGGUGAGUAACACGUGAGCAACCUGCCCUUCACUCUGGGAUAACCUCGGGAAAUCGGGGCUAAUACCGGAUAUGAGCUCCUGUCGCAUGGCGGGUGUUGGAAAGUUUUUCGGUGAAGGAUGGGCUCGCGGCCUAUCAGUUUGUUGGUGAGGUAGUGGCUCACCAAGGCGAUGACGGGUAGCCGGCCUGAGAGGGCGACCGGCCACACUGGGACUGAGACACGGCCCAGACUCCUACGGGAGGCAGCAGUGGGGAAUAUUGCACAAUGGGCGAAAGCCUGAUGCAGCGACGCCGCGUGAGGGAUGACGGCCUUCGAGUUGUAAACCUCUUUCAGCAGGGAAGAAGCGAAAGUGACGGUACCUGCAGAAGAAGCGCCGGCUAACUACGUG
This 467-nucleotide ribosomal RNA is filed under the name uncultured bacterium. RNAcentral describes it as "partial 16S ribosomal RNA". It matches the Rfam family "Bacterial small subunit ribosomal RNA", at positions 28 to 507 of the family's 1533-position model. The record is from RNAcentral.